This is a long non-coding RNA of Micropterus salmoides (largemouth bass), 467 nucleotides long. RefSeq lists it as uncharacterized. NCBI's taxonomy places the organism in Eukaryota, Metazoa, Chordata, Actinopteri, Centrarchiformes, Centrarchidae. The transcript is spliced from 3 exons. The record is from RefSeq and is a predicted model, not a curated record.
UGGGACUUUGAUCUCUGCUCCAACGACUGCCGCGGCCGGGAGACGGACGUUAAACUGUUAAGAUGAACGUCAAAAAAGAAUUUGCAACUUCAGCGGGGCUGUGAUCCUGCACAACAAAACAUGAAAGAAUAAAAUCACCACACUACCAUGGAUAAUAGUGGUGCAACGGGUUGCAGAAUCUGUGGUAUGGAUCCUUUCCACACGGUGCGGCACGCAGCCUUCAUCUUACCUGAAGACAAGAAACCCCCCGCCCCAAUCCCUGUUCCACUGACAAAACCCUUGCACAUUUUCCCCUUGCACAUUUUCCAAUAAUUUAUUCAGUGGAUGUGAUUGUUGUAAUGUGGCAUGAAUUAGCAGACUGGGAACAAUUUAGAGAUGACAAAUUAUAAUACUUUUUCCUUUAUGUUUUAGUUUUCAUGGAAUUGUUGUAGAUCUAUAAGUAAAUAAAAAACAUUUUUUAAAUCACA